UGUAGUCUGUUCUUGCUUGUAUCAACUAUCCGAUACCAUUUAGAAAGGAAACUAAAAGAAGCCAAAAAAAAAAUGAAGGAUAUUCUCUAGAUAUCCGACAGCCUGAUGGUCAGCUUUUAUGUGGUUAUAAUUGCUUGACUAGGGUUAAAACUGAAUCACACCUAAAGCAACUUUUUGAACUUGCGACUGAAAUUAUGGCUGAAAGAAAAUUUGAUUUACGAGGAGGGAAGUACACUAACCCAUCUGAAUCUAUUGCAAGUCCAACAAACGUCCUAGGAAUGAUGUGGGACAGACAUAUUGAUACUUUUUCCAUAAACAUCCCUGAUGUGAAAGAAGUAACGAAUGUAGUAAUCACCAAAAGAAAUAUUUUAGCUGUUUCGCACAAAGUUUUUGAUCCUCUCAGCAUAACUGGUCCAGUGACACUACGUCCAAAACUCUGGCUACAACUGUGCGGUCUCCUCGGCCACGCCAGACACGUAUACGGUCAUCAGAAUAUUCCACGUAGAACUGGGACUCAUUUGAAAAGGCGACAUUGUGCUUCUCCUGUACCCAGCGUUGUUGUCUGGAGCACCAGAGUCGCCGUCUCUCUUUAUGCUGCAUUGUCAAGGGAAGCCGAAGUAAUGGUCGUCGUGUUGAUAGCCCACGCGUGCUGCAAACGCGAUACUAGGCGUGCUGCAAGCAUGCCCAUUUCUUGACUAAUGGUCCGUGAUGUGUUUUGCAGGGAUGACCUCACAAUAUGUCUGUACUCUCGGGCGUUAGUCAUAGGAGGACGUUGAGAUCCAGCAUACCGUUCAAUAUGACCCUCAGCAAACCAUGGUUUCCAUAUUCACAUGACAGUGGUUGGAUGGUGACCAGUGCGACGGGAGAUAUCACGGGACGAUAAUCCACACUCUCAAUAGGCAACGAUCCUAACUCUAUCGCAUUCCGACACUUGCUGUUUAAAAGCACAAGUGCAGAGCAUGAAUCAAGAUGAGAAGCAUCCAAUAUUUGAUGUUGUCCGCACAGCACAGAGGAUAUGAGGGACAGUCACAAAGCCCAAGCCAAUACAAGCAUGCGGGCAAACAGUCAUUGCCUGUAUUACAUAUUUUAAUGUUCAAAAUUAUGAUUUUUACAACAGGUGUAAAUUUUAAGAAUAUUUAUAGAAAGGAGAUAGUUCCAAGAACUAGGUUACUAAUGCAAAAUUCUCAAACGCAAAUAGGAAUUGGUUUGGAAUUG
Molecule: long non-coding RNA, 1215 nt
Organism: Stegodyphus dumicola
Lineage: Eukaryota; Metazoa; Arthropoda; Arachnida; Araneae; Eresidae
Source: RefSeq, a predicted model, not a curated record